RNAcentral lists this ribosomal RNA (33 nucleotides) under Tricholoma sejunctum. RNAcentral describes it as "partial 18S ribosomal RNA". The record is from RNAcentral. Lineage: Eukaryota; Fungi; Basidiomycota; Agaricomycetes; Agaricales; Tricholomataceae.
CAAGGUUCCGUAGGUGAACUGCGGAAGGAUCAU